AUAAAAAAUUUUUAUAGUUUGAAAAUUUAUUAAAAAUUUAUUUUGCAUAUAAAUUUUAGUGUUAAUUUUUAAUUAUUUAAAUAAUAUUUAAUAAUGUAAUAAAAUAGCAAUUAAUAUUAAAAAUUUAAGAAAUUAAGAUUUAGUAAUAUUUAAAUUAAUAACAAAUUUUGUGCCAGCAGUUGCGGUUAGACAAAAGUUAAAUUGAAUUUUAUUAGUAAUUAAUAUAUAAAUUUAAAAUUUAAGUAAAUAUGAAGUUAUUAGGUAGAAUUUUUAUUUUAUUUAAUUUAAUUUUUUUUUUUAUAGUUUAAUAAAUUAUGUGAAAAAACUAGGAUUAGAUACCCUAUUAUUAAAAUUUAAAUUAAAAAUACUAAAAUAGUAUGUAAAAGUUUAUUGAAACUUAAAUAAUUUGGCGGUAUUUUAGUUUAUUUAGAGGAAUCUGUUUAUUAAUUGAUAAUCCACGAAUAAAUUUACUUGAUUUAUAAUUUUGUAUAUCGUUGUUAAAAAAAUAUUUUAAGAUAAAAAUAAUAUUUUAGAUUAUAAAAAAAAAUUAAAUCAGAUCAAGAUGCAGAUUAUAAUUAAGAAUAUAAUGGAUUACAAUAAAUUUAUUUAAAUGAAUAAUAAUUUGUAAAAAUUAGUUGAAGGUGGAUUUAAAUGUAAUUUUAUUUAAUUUAAUAAAAUGAUUAAAAAUUAAAAUAUGUACAUAUUGCCCGUCACUUUCAUAUAUAAGUUGGAAUAAGUCGUAACAAAGUAGAGGUACUGGAAAGUGUUUCUAGAAAUA
This 778-nucleotide ribosomal RNA is filed under the name Omphisa fuscidentalis (bamboo borer). RNAcentral's name for it is "12S ribosomal RNA". The record is from RNAcentral. Lineage: Eukaryota; Metazoa; Arthropoda; Insecta; Lepidoptera; Crambidae.